Molecule: ribosomal RNA, 382 nt
Filed under: Fonticella sp. KF-2016-U
Lineage: Bacteria; Bacillati; Bacillota; Clostridia; Eubacteriales; Clostridiaceae
Also listed under: 1 other name
Description: bacterial SSU rRNA
Rfam family: Bacterial small subunit ribosomal RNA
Source: RNAcentral
CCUUACCAGGACUUGACAUGUAAGGAACCCUGUAGAGAUACGGGGGUGCCCCUUUCGGGGAACCUUAACACAGGUGGUGCAUGGUUGUCGUCAGCUCGUGUCGUGAGAUGUUGGGUUAAGUCCCGCAACGAGCGCAACCCCUGUUGUUAGUUGCUACCAUUAAGUUGAGCACUCUAACGAGACUGCCGAGGUCAACUCGGAGGAAGGUGGGGAUGACGUCAAAUCAUCAUGCCCCUUAUGUCCUGGGCUACACACGUGCUACAAUGGCCGGUACAAAGAGAAGCAAUCCCGCGAGGGGGAGCAAAUCUUCAAAACCGGUCCCAGUUCGGAUUGUAGGCUGCAACUCGCCUACAUGAAGCCGGAGUUGCUAGUAAUCGCGGAU